CACGGUUGAACCCCACUUUUCCCUUUGGUUUGUUUCUUCCUGAUUGAGUACAUAUACUCAUCUUCUCCAAAAUACCAGGGAAAGGCGCGCAUAAUUUCGAUUCCAGCAAGAACACACUCCUUCACUGAAUAGGCACGAACAUACAAUUUUCAUUGAAGACCACACUCAUGCACAGCAAAAGAGAGAGAGAGAUUAAGAGGUCAAGGAGAGAACAGACCAGAGAAAACAUCAAAACAGAAAAGAAAAACUCAAAAAUGGAUUAGAAAUGGGAAGGGAAUGAUAUGACAAUGAGCAGUUUCUGAUUGGGUCUGGCCAAAAAUUUCAAGUUUUGCCGAAAAAUGCAAAAACCUGGUUCGUUUGGUAUUCGUUGUUGGUUCGGGGAUUUAGAUUUCAGUUCAUCUUAACUCGUUCGUUGAGUUCAGUUUUGGGUUUCAAUUCCUCAAACUAAGUUGGAUUCUUGAUCGGAUUGAGGUUUCUUGUUCGAGGUUUUCGGUUUCGGAUUUCUCUAUUAUCAAUGAAAAUGAGUUCCAUUGAGG
Molecule: long non-coding RNA, 536 nt
Filed under: Capsicum annuum
Lineage: Eukaryota; Viridiplantae; Streptophyta; Magnoliopsida; Solanales; Solanaceae
Description: long non-coding RNA (CANN_LNC003458)
Source: RNAcentral